RNAcentral lists this transfer RNA (66 nucleotides) under Eophona migratoria. RNAcentral's name for it is "tRNA-Ser". The record is from RNAcentral. Lineage: Eukaryota; Metazoa; Chordata; Aves; Passeriformes; Fringillidae.
GAGGGGAGGUAAAACCAACGAGAACUGCUAACUCCCGAAUCUGAGCAUAACACCUCAGUCCCCUUG